GACGAACGCUGGCGGCGUGCUUAACACAUGCAAGUCGAGCGGAAAGGCCCUUUCGGGGGUACUCGAGCGGCGAACGGGUGAGUAACACGUGAGUAAUCUGCCCUUGGCUUUGGGAUAACUACCGGAAACGGUGGCUAAUACCGGAUACGACCACUCUUGCAUGAGGUGGUGGUGGAAAGUUUUUCGGCCAGGGAUGUGCUCGCGGCCUAUCAGCUUGUUGGUGGGGUAAUGGCCUACCAAGGCUUCGACGGGUAGCCGGCCUGAGAGGGUGACCGGCCACACUGGGACUGAGACACGGCCCGGACUCCUACGGGAGGCAGCAGUGGGGAAUAUUGGACAAUGGGCGGAAGCCUGAUCCAGCAACGCCGCGUGAGGGAUGACGGCC
RNAcentral lists this ribosomal RNA (385 nucleotides) under uncultured bacterium. RNAcentral's name for it is "bacterial SSU rRNA". It matches the Rfam family "Bacterial small subunit ribosomal RNA", at positions 28 to 416 of the family's 1533-position model. The record is from RNAcentral.